This is a long non-coding RNA of Macadamia integrifolia, 2180 nucleotides long. RefSeq lists it as uncharacterized. Lineage: Eukaryota; Viridiplantae; Streptophyta; Magnoliopsida; Proteales; Proteaceae. The record is from RefSeq and is a predicted model, not a curated record. The transcript has 4 exons.
UCAGCAGGUUCGAGCACACGAGUCGGGGUUUUUCUUCAAUAUGAAGUAUUUUGAGGAUGUCGUGACGAAUAGGGAAUGGGACGAGGUCGAGAGGUAUCUCUUUGUAUUCACAAAGGUGGAUGAUAACAGAUACUCGUUGACGAUCUUUUUUGAGAUCAGGAAGCAAAAACACCUUGAAGCCCUAGACAAGCACGAUCGUUCUAAAGCUGUAGAGAUUCUUGUGAAGGACUUGAAAGUGUUCUCGGCUUUUAAUGAAGAGCUUUUCAAGGAAAUAACGCAGCUUGUCACAUUGGACAAUUCAAGUGUGGAAAAACAUUACACCAUUAAGUGCCUGUUUUCUGUGGUUUAAGUACAAGUGGAACCUAUUGUUUAGUUUCUAUUGGAAUACUGAUAAGAAAUGUCUUACUUACAGGGAGAACGAGCAGCUCUCUUAAGUACAGAGAAUACUAAGUCUGCUUGGGUUAUAAUGCUUGCUGAACUUGAAAAGUUGAUUGAGGCAAAUACAGUUUUCCGUGAUAAGCUUCAGUUUCCCAGCCUGAAAAACUCAAGAUUAAGGACCUUAAUCAAUCAGAGUUUAAAUUGGAAACACCAGCUUUGCAAGAAUCCUAGGCCUAACCCCGACAUAAAGAGUCUCUUUGUGGAUCAUACUUGUGGACAACCAAAUGGCGCUCUCCAUCCCCUGCCCCAAGUAUUGGGUCCAUUCCUAAAGCAAGAGGUUUUCCACAACUAAGUGCUUAUGGUAUAAGUGAAAUUAAGGAACAACCUCUGUUUCUUACGAGUGACUAAAUUGUUCAUCUUCAUGAGGUCUGACUUGGUGUUCAUUUUCUCAGCCAUUUCUUGCCGUACCAAAACCUGAUCCAUCUUUUAUUGCAUGAGCCUUUUCUCCUGCUUACUGUUCAGUUUAUGAUGCUUGCAAUUUUUUCUUUGAGGACUCCAUGGAUUUUAAUCUGUGAAAGAUGUUAUGCAAAGUAUGGUGGAUGAUGACCUUGUUUUGAAGGACAAGAUAGGCAUCUAUGUAAGUAUUUGGUUCAAUAGGAAUUAUGAAAAGUCAGUGUUUGUACAUGAAAGAUAUGUUCUUGUGUUUUAUUGCCUAUAGUAAUUGGAUGUUGGAAUUUCUUCCAUACAUGCUUGUCUAGAUUUCAUCUAUGCUAAGUUCAUUUUCCCACUUCCCAAGUUUACUUUUGAAGUGGAUGAUGACCUUGUUUUGAAGGACAAGAAUAGGCAUCUCUAUAAGUAUUUGGUUCAAUAGGAAUUAUGAAAAGUCAGUGUUUGUACAUGAAAGAUAUGUUCUUGUGUUGUAUUGCCCAUAGUAAUUGGAUGUUGGAAUUUCUUCCAUACAUGCUUGUCCAGAUUUCAUCUAUGCUAAGUUCAUUUUCCCACUUCCAAGUUUACUUUUGAUGUCUUUCGAGUUAUGCUGGUAAUCAGGUGAAGAUUUGAGUCCCUCUACCCCCAAUCCUCUCUCUCUUUCCUCCCCAGUCCUUUAAUGCCUUGGCCUGCUUUAUGAAGUGGUUUUGUGUAACUGUUAAAUGAUAGCAUCAUAUUUGUUAUGAUCAUCAUUUUAUUGUUUGUAUGGCUGAGGACUGUGCACUGCAAACUAGAAUUUGAUCUUGAAAUUGGUACGAAAAGGCUUGCAGAAUUUAUGGAUCAGAGGGAUGGAUUAAAGAAGGGCAGAGAGGCCUCUGUAAAUGUUUAUUGCUUUUCUAGAAUUGCUAAAGAGAUUUAAAUUGUGGGGCUUUUACAUUUACCUUUCAGGGCUUCAUCACAGGAUGAGCGAGGGCAGGCCUUGAAUGAGCUCAAAUCCAGGCAGUUUCAAGUCUCCUUUUGUUCCAGACUUAAUAUUUUGAAAAUCUUUAAUGGAAGUCUAUGGUUAGGAGAAUCUGCUCUAAUUUUGAAGGACGAAUUGGGGAGAUAUACUGUCAAUAUUCUAGCUGCCCUUGAAGCUAUGAGUCUGAAAAACAUGCUUAUUCAUAUUAUUAUUCUUUAAUAAACGGUUUUGUCGUAUUUCUCUGAAACUUUUCCAGACAAACACUUUCAUUUUCACAUUUGCAGGUAAUGCAAUUGAGGUUGCCGAUACAGCAUCUAACAGGUGGACUGCCAAUAUCUUCACAGUAAGGAAGUGGUGUUCAAACAAUUUUCCCGAAGCCAAAGAACAACUUGAACACAUGUACAGGGAGGUAACU